This 262-nucleotide ribosomal RNA is filed under the name uncultured bacterium. RNAcentral describes it as "partial 16S ribosomal RNA". It matches the Rfam family "Bacterial small subunit ribosomal RNA", at positions 793 to 1055 of the family's 1533-position model. The record is from RNAcentral.
GUCCACACCGUAAACGAUGAGCACUAGGUGUCGGGGUCGCAAGGCUUCGGUGCCGCAGUUAACGCAUUAAGUGCUCCGCCUGGGGAGUACGUACGCAAGUAUGAAACUCAAAGGAAUUGACGGGGACCCGCACAAGCAGCGGAGCAUGUGGUUUAAUUCGAAGCAAACGCGAAGAACCUUACCAGGACUUGACAUCCCGAUGACCGGUUCUUAACGAACCUUCUCUUCGGAGCAUCGGUGACAGGUGGUGCAUGGUUGUCGU